GCGCUGGCUUCAGCAGGACAUUCACUAAAAUGGGAAGGACACAGAGCUUAGCGUGGGCUCUGUGCAAGGAUGAAACUCAAUUUCCUGAGGCCUUCCAUGCUUUU
Molecule: small nuclear RNA, 104 nt
Filed under: Nannospalax galili (Upper Galilee mountains blind mole rat)
Lineage: Eukaryota; Metazoa; Chordata; Mammalia; Rodentia; Spalacidae
Source: RNAcentral